Molecule: ribosomal RNA, 790 nt
Filed under: uncultured bacterium
Lineage: Bacteria
Description: bacterial SSU rRNA
Rfam family: Bacterial small subunit ribosomal RNA
Source: RNAcentral
UUAGUGGCGGACGGGUGAGUAACGCGUGGAUAACCUGCCGUAUGCAGGGGGAUAACAGUUGGAAACAGCUGCUAAUACCGCAUAAGCGCACAAUACCGCAUGGUACUGUGUGAAAAGAUUUAUCGGCAUACGAUGGAUCCGCGUCCGAUUAGCCAGUUGGCGGGGUAACGGCCCACCAAAGCGACGAUCGGUAGCCGGCCUGAGAGGGUGGACGGCCACAUUGGGACUGAGACACGGCCCAAACUCCUACGGGAGGCAGCAGUGGGGAAUAUUGCACAAUGGGGGAAACCCUGAUGCAGCGACGCCGCGUGAGUGAAGAAGUAUCUCGGUAUGUAAAGCUCUAUCAGCAGGGAAGAAAAUGACGGUACCUGACUAAGAAGCCCCGGCUAACUACGUGCCAGCAGCCGCGGUAAUACGUAGGGGGCGAGCGUUAUCCGGAUUUACUGGGUGCAAAGGGAGCGUAGACGGUUCUGCAAGUCUGAAGUGAAAGCCCGUGGCUUAACCGCGGAACGGCUUUGGAAACUGUGGAACUGGAGUGCUGGAGAGGCAAGCGGAAUUCCUAGUGUAGCGGUGAAAUGCGUAGAUAUUAGGAGGAACACCAGUGGCGAAGGCGGCUUGCUGGACAGUAACUGACGUUGAGGCUCGAAAGCGUGGGGAGCAAACAGGAUUAGAUACCCUGGUAGUCCACGCGGUAAACGAUGAAUGCUAGGUGUCGGGGAGCAAAGCUCUUCGGUGCCGCCGCAAACGCAGUAAGCAUUCCACCUGGGGAGUACGUUCGCAAGAAUGAAAC